UUUGUUUCCAGUUUUUUUGGUGUCAUCCGCCCUAUAUAUUCUUUGGGGUGAAUGGUGAAAAGGGAAUCAGGUGUAAAUCCUGAACAGACCCGCUGCUGUAAGCUCAACCAAAAUCCUUGUGCAAUAUUCAAAUCCACUGUCCUGAUUAUCGGGAUGGGAAGGAGGCACAAAGGACGAGUAAGUCAGAAGACCUGCCAAGAUUAAAUGUUUCAU
This 213-nucleotide non-coding RNA is filed under the name Bacteroides pyogenes. The record is from RNAcentral. Lineage: Bacteria; Pseudomonadati; Bacteroidota; Bacteroidia; Bacteroidales; Bacteroidaceae.